GGAAUCUGAAAAACAUCACUAGAGUUUGACUGUGUCUUUGGAGAUGCACUUUUUCAAAUCUGUUGGCUCUGUAUCUUCUUUUGGUGCAUCAUGACUGCUUCCAUUUCUCGUAUUGAUGGUCUAUGCCACACUUCUCUGGGAGUUUCCUGGCAUCACAGGUUACUAUGACUGAGUUUGUGAAAGAAAUGUAAGAUCAAAGACGAGAGGAUGACUGGACUGUCUGAAUUCACAUCAGUCCCUGGGUGCCAGAAAAACCAGUUUUGAGGAAGAUGUUUCUACUUGUUAUGCAGUCAAUGAAAGCCAUCAAACACAACCAUGGCAACCACUGUCAGAAGCUGACCUUAAUAAGCAAAAGCAUUGAUAUUAACUCAGUUUCUAUGGUUAUAUUAAAAAUAAAUAUUUCUCUAAGAUUUACAA
Molecule: long non-coding RNA, 417 nt
Organism: Heterocephalus glaber (naked mole-rat)
Lineage: Eukaryota; Metazoa; Chordata; Mammalia; Rodentia; Bathyergidae
Source: Ensembl